GACGAACGCUGGCGGCGUGCUUAACACAUGCAAGUCGAACGGAAAGGCCCUGCUUUUGUGGGGUGCUCGAGUGGCGAACGGGUGAGUAACACGUGAGUAACCUGCCCUUGACUUUGGGAUAACUUCAGGAAACUGGGGCUAAUACCGGAUAGGAGCUCCUGCUGCAUGGUGGGGGUUGGAAAGUUUCGGCGGGUGGGGAUGGACUCGCGGCUUAUCAGCUUGUUGGUGGGGUAGUGGCUUACCAAGGCUUUGACGGGUAGCCGGCCUGAGAGGGUGACCGGCCACAUUGGGACUGAGAUACGGCACAGACUCCUACGGGAGGCAGCAGUGGGGAAUAUUGCACAAUGGGCGGAAGCCUGGUGCAGCAACGCCGCGUGCGGGAUGACGGCCUUCGGGUUGUAAACCGCUUUCGCCUGUGACGAAGCGUGAGUGACGGUAAUGGGUAAAGAAGCACCGGCUAACUACGUG
Molecule: ribosomal RNA, 468 nt
Filed under: uncultured bacterium
Lineage: Bacteria
Description: partial 16S ribosomal RNA
Rfam family: Bacterial small subunit ribosomal RNA
Source: RNAcentral